GACGAACGCUGGCGGCGUGCUUAACACAUGCAAGUCGAACGGAAAGGCCCUGCUUUUGUGGGGUGCUCGAGUGGCGAACGGGUGAGUAACACGUGAGUAACCUGCCCUUGACUUUGGGAUAACUUCAGGAAACUGGGGCUAAUACCGGAUAGGAGCUCCUGCUGCAUGGGGGGGGUUGGAAAGUUUCGGCGGUUGGGGAUAGACUCGCGGCUUAUCAGCUUGUUGGGGGGGUAGUGGCUUACCAAGCCUUUGACGGGUAGCCGGCAUGAGAGCGUGACCGGCGACAUUGCGACUGAGGUACGGCGCAGACGCGUACGUGAGGCAGCAGUCGGGAAUAUUGCACAAUGGGCGGAAGCCUGAUGCGAAGACGCUGCGUGCGGAAUGCCGGCCUUCGGGUUAUGAACCGCUUUCGCCUGUGACGAAGCGUGAGUGACGGUAAUGGGUAAAGAAGCACCGGCUAACUACGUG
RNAcentral lists this ribosomal RNA (468 nucleotides) under uncultured bacterium. RNAcentral's name for it is "partial 16S ribosomal RNA". It matches the Rfam family "Bacterial small subunit ribosomal RNA", at positions 28 to 507 of the family's 1533-position model. The record is from RNAcentral.